Molecule: ribosomal RNA, 253 nt
Filed under: uncultured bacterium
Lineage: Bacteria
Description: partial 16S ribosomal RNA
Rfam family: Bacterial small subunit ribosomal RNA
Source: RNAcentral
UACGGGGGGGGCAAGCGUUGUUCGGAAUUACUGGGCGUAAAGGGCUCGUAGGCGGCCAACUAAGUCAGACGUGAAAUCCCCAGGCUCAACCUGGGAACUGCGUCUGAUACUGGAUGGCUUGAAUCCGGGAGAGGGAUGCAGAAUUCCAGGUGUAGCGGUGAAAUGCGUAGAUAUCUGGAGGAAUACCGGUGGCGAAGGCGGCAUCCUGGACCGGAAUUGACGCUGAGGAGCGAAAGCGAGGGGAGCAAACGGG